UCCAGACUCCUACGGGAGGCAGCAGUGAGGAAUAUUGGUCAAUGGGCGAGAGCCUGAACCAGCCAAGUCGCGUGAGGGAGUACUGCCCUAUGGGUUGUAAACCUCUUUUGUCGGGGAGCAAAAGCCGGACGUGUCCGUCUGUGAGAGUACCCGAAGAAAAAGCAUCGGCUAGCUCCGUGCCAGCAGCCGCGGUAAUACGGGGGAUGCGAGCGUUAUCCGGAUUUAUUGGGUUUAAAGGGUGCGUAGGCGGCGCUUCAGGUCAGCGGUGAAAUACCGGGGCUCAACCCCGGGGCUGCCGUUGAAACCGGAGCGCUAGAAUUCCGAUGCCGUCGGAGGAAUGUGUGGUGUAGCGGUGAAAUGCAUAGAUAUCACACAGAACACCGAUUGCGAAGGCAUCUGACGAAUCGGAGAUUGACGCUGAUGCACGAAAGCGUGGGUAUCGAACAGGAUUAGAUACCCGGGUA
RNAcentral lists this ribosomal RNA (464 nucleotides) under uncultured bacterium. RNAcentral's name for it is "bacterial SSU rRNA". It matches the Rfam family "Bacterial small subunit ribosomal RNA", at positions 330 to 792 of the family's 1533-position model. The record is from RNAcentral.